AUUGAACGCUGGCGGCAUGCCUUACACAUGCAAGUCGAACGGCAGCGGACCUUCGGGUGCCGGCGAGUGGCGAACGGGUGAGUAAUAUAUCGGGAACGUACCUUUCAGUGGGGGAUAACGUAGCGAAAGUUACGCUAAUACCGCAUAUUCUGUGAGCAGGAAAGCAGGGGAUCGCAAGACCUUGCGCUGAUUGAGCGGCCGAUAUCAGAUUAGCUAGUUGGUGAGGUAAAGGCUCACCAAGGCGACGAUCUGUAGCGGGUCUGAGAGGAUGAUCCGCCACACUGGAACUGAGACACGGUCCAGACUCCUACGGGAGGCAGCAGUGGGGAAUUUUGGACAAUGGGCGCAAGCCGUGAUCCAGCCAUGCCGCGUGAGUGAAGAAGGCCUCGG
This 390-nucleotide ribosomal RNA is filed under the name uncultured bacterium. Its description in RNAcentral is "bacterial SSU rRNA". It matches the Rfam family "Bacterial small subunit ribosomal RNA", at positions 30 to 420 of the family's 1533-position model. The record is from RNAcentral.